AACGUAGGUGGCGAGCGUUAUCCGGAUUCACUGGGCGUAAAGCGAGUGCAGGUGGCCUCGUAAGUUGGAUGUGAAAUUUCUUGGCUUAACUGAGAAAGGUCAUUCAAUACUGCGGGGCUUGAGGGUAGAAGAGGGGGGUGGAAUUGCCGGUGUAGUGGUGAAAUGCGUAGAUAUCGGCAGGAACACCAGUGGCGAAAGCGGCCCCCUGGUUUACUCCUGACACUCAGACUCGAAAGCUAGGGUAGCGAACGGG
Molecule: ribosomal RNA, 253 nt
Filed under: uncultured bacterium
Lineage: Bacteria
Description: partial 16S ribosomal RNA
Rfam family: Bacterial small subunit ribosomal RNA
Source: RNAcentral